Molecule: ribosomal RNA, 450 nt
Filed under: uncultured bacterium
Lineage: Bacteria
Description: partial 16S ribosomal RNA
Rfam family: Bacterial small subunit ribosomal RNA
Source: RNAcentral
CCUACGGGGGGCUGCAGUGGGGAAUAUUGCGCAAUGGCCGAAAGGCUGACGCAGCGACGCCGCGUGGAGGAUGACGCCCUUCGGGGUGUAAACUCCUGUUGCCCGGGACGAAUGCCUGUUUUGACAGGAGUGACGGUACCGGGUGAGGAAGCACCGGCUAACUCUGUGCCAGCAGCCGCGGUAAUACAGAGGGUGCGAGCGGUGUCCAGAAGCACUAGGCGGAAAGGGGGCGUAGGUGGCGGGGUGUGCGGAAAGUCCGGGGCUCAACCCCGGAUCGGCCAUGCGAACUGCCUCGCUGGAGCACGGUAGAGGCACAUGGAAUUCCGGGUGUAGCGGUGGAAUGCGUAGAGAUCCGGAAGAACACCGGUGGCGAAGGCGGUGUGCUGGGCCGUUGCUGACACUGAGGCGCGACAGCGUGGGGAGCAAACAGGAUUAGAUACCCGUGUAGUC